GCUUACUCUCUUCUUGUCUCC
This 21-nucleotide microRNA is filed under the name Arabidopsis lyrata. RNAcentral's name for it is "aly-miR156g-3p". Its record names the gene aly-miR156g-3p. Lineage: Eukaryota; Viridiplantae; Streptophyta; Magnoliopsida; Brassicales; Brassicaceae. The record is from miRBase by way of RNAcentral.